AGUGAACGCUGGCGGUAGGCCUAACACAUGCAAGUCGAACGGCAGCACAGUAAGAGCUUGCUCUUACGGGUGGCGAGUGGCGGACGGGUGAGGAAUACAUCGGAAUCUACUUUUUCGUGGGGGAGAACGUAGGGAAACUUACGCUAAUACCGCAUACGACCUACGGGUGAAAGCAGGGGAUCUUCGGACCUUGCGCGAUUGAAUGAGCCGAUGGCGGAUUAGCUAGUUGGCGGGGUAAAGGCCCACCAAGGCGACGAUCCGUAGCUGGCCUGAGAGGAUGAUCAGCCACACUGGAACUGAGACACGGUCCAGACUCCUACGGGAGGCAGCAGUGGGGAAUAUUGGACAAUGGGCGCAAGCCUGAUCCAGCCAUACCGCGUGGGUGAAGAAGGCCUUCGGGUUGUAAAGCCCUUUUGUUGGGAAAGAAAAGCAGCAGGUUAAUACCCCGCUGUUCUGACGGUACCCAAAGAAUAAGCACCGGCUAACUUCGUG
Molecule: ribosomal RNA, 492 nt
Filed under: uncultured bacterium
Lineage: Bacteria
Description: partial 16S ribosomal RNA
Rfam family: Bacterial small subunit ribosomal RNA
Source: RNAcentral